CUAGACCAGUUGCCUUUGACCUCAUGGGGUUGGAUCUAUUUAAAUUAGAUCUUUAUCCAACUAGAACCAGUUUUAAGUGGAGAAGGACUCCUCUAUAUCCACUAGAAGCCACACAAAAAAAAUAAAUAUCGCCCACCUCUUUUCAGCAUGUGAAGUUGAAGAGUCCUUCUUCAUGAAGGCUCUUAAUUAAACACGUUGCCUUAAAAGAUAAACCAGAACUCCUAUGAUUUAAUGCCAAAAUUAAGUAAAUUUUUAUAGCACAUA
RNAcentral lists this long non-coding RNA (264 nucleotides) under Elaeis guineensis (African oil palm). RNAcentral describes it as "long non-coding RNA (EGUI_LNC048761)". The record is from RNAcentral. Lineage: Eukaryota; Viridiplantae; Streptophyta; Magnoliopsida; Arecales; Arecaceae.